Molecule: long non-coding RNA, 3283 nt
Organism: Thunnus maccoyii (southern bluefin tuna)
Lineage: Eukaryota; Metazoa; Chordata; Actinopteri; Scombriformes; Scombridae
Exons: 4
Source: RefSeq, a predicted model, not a curated record
CUCUCAAAGACCCCUGGGGGUCCCCAGACCCCACAUUGAGAACCACUGCUCUGCUGUGUUGGCUGAGGCUCUCAUCUGAGGACCCAUCAGUCUGGCCACCUCCCACCCCUGCAGAACACAGAUAAGUGUGUGUCCUACUAUCACUGAUGGGUAUAGUUUUAUUGAAGUGUCUCAACAGUACAGACCAGCCGGGAUUCACCUGAGGCUCGAAAGCCAAAGACGAGAAGACUCAACUGAGGAUGUAAAGCAGAAGAAGUUUCAUGGCACAGGAUUUGACAGCGACCUGGUGGACUCACUGGAGAGAGAUAUUUUGUCCCGUAACCCAAUGUUCGCUGAGAUGACAUUGCUGAUCUAGAGGAUGUUAAGAAGCUGCUGAGAGAAGCCAUGGUGUUUCCCAUGUGGAUGCCUGACUUCUUCGAAGGCAUUCGUCGCCCUUGGAAGUUACACAUGUACACACACACACACACACAAAUGUGCUUUCAUGCAUACUCUGAGCUGUAUAUUUCGUUAGUGUGUUGUUUUUUAAUGACCGAGAAAUCAAUAGAGAAAUGAUUUUCAGCAGCAAAUGAAUCACCAAAUGAAGCCAUGAAUCUGCUUAGCUGCGGGCCUUUUAACAUAUUGGUGCAAGCCAGCUGUUCUUUUGCUUAAAACACAGACGUUAAUGCUUGUUUGCAUUAUUUCCAUCUUUAGUUUAAGGACCUGCUCAGCAAUGUUGCCUCUCAGUGUCAAUAUGACUCUGCCGAAUGACCAGUCAGAGUUUUAUUUUCCUUUCUACCAGCUAAGGAUGAACUUCAUCAUGUGAGACCUCUUCCCCUCAAGCGCACCAUGUGAGGGUCAAUACUUGCUCAUUUUUUACAGCAGCACAGUGCUUUUCAUUUGUCUGAUGUGCACAUACAUAAUUGAACUCUUCACUCAGUUUAAAUAAAUUCAGAGGCCUUUUUUCAGUUAAUCGAAAAUGGAAUAAAAUGAAGGAUUCAUAAAUUAGUCAUAGGAAACAGAGACUUCAAGUUUAUAUUUUUCGGCACAUAGGUAGGCUGGUAUAUUUGUUUCAUUAUAGGUGACAUUUAGUACAGAGUUUUAUGCAUUUCUUUUGUUUUGUUUUUUUUUCAGUUCUCUGCUGCACUCUCCUGCACACGUGUCCUCUCUCUCCCUCCUGCUGUUCAAUCCCACCAGCGUCUAUUGAAACUCUGUGUGCUCCAUCUUGCAGGGAAUAUAAAACACAUUAGGAUAUAUGUAUUUUCAUGCACUAAAAUUCUAUAAAAAUUUUAUGGAUCAUGUCCCAGAUUCUCUCAUGGUUAUUGUUAUCUCCAUAGCAACAGACUCACACCAGAUGCAGAAAUGUCAGACAUCAGAGCAGCAUUGAUAGUGACAGUCUUGAUGUUUACAAAAGGGAUUUGAAUCAGCGUAGUGCUUUUUGUUUAAUAUUAUUGACAUUUAAACAAAAUGUAUGUAACUGAUCACACAGUGGGUGAAUGAGAAAGCGAGAGUGACAAAGUAAACUGAAAGUUAAUGUGCUAGCGGGGGACCUACAGUUUAGCAGAAGGCAAUUCAUUUACAUUCAUGGUGGAGCCCAGUUAUAAUAACAGCCUUUCGUAUUUCCAUAUAUCAGAUUGCAUCUUGUGCUCAUCAGGUGAUGAUGAUGCAGAACGCUCGCUCUUGCCUGCAUAUUCCCUCCCAUUAGGUACAGCUCUGACAUUUACAUUGAACACACUGACAAAACAGAUGCAAAUCAACAUUGCUUUUUGGCUUUAGCUCUCUGUCAAGCUUCCAUGAAUCAGCACUUAAGUAGUGCUGUUUGUACACAUACAAGAGUAUUAACAACUAGCAGUGGUCCCAGCGUCAGGGACACAGUAACUUCAGAUGUAUAAAGAAGUUGGUCACAAGUCAUUAUCAGUGGCUUUUAGACUCCAGAACAGCUGGAAUAGUUGCCUUAUUUUAAUUGUUUACAUUAGAAGUGAUGAUGUCAGGACUAAUUACAGUAAACUGCACAUCACUAUGAUGAAAAAGUGAUCUGAAGAAUCAUGAAUAAGCAUGUUUUAAGCAUUUACUUUCUAUAUCUGUGAUGUAGACACACACACACAGGUACAAAAGUUAGAUUUACCAAUUACAGAGAUAUACAUUUUUAUUUUCUAUUUGCAUGACAGUAUAAAUUACAAAAGGAGAACAAUUAAAUUCUCACUGGUAAAUUUAAUCAGAUCUGUGGAUUUUCAGUCACGUUGGGGCAGAUGUAGCACUUUCUGCUGUCUCUGUUUAUCAGCCUUGUGGAUCUAAAUGCUGUGCAUCCUUACUUGUUCGUCUCAGAUGGAUAUCAGUGACGCACAGAGUUUGCAGCAGUUCAUUCCUAUAAAUAAACCUAAUUGCCUCUCCUCUGGUGGCCAGCUUACAGUGCCCUCUGAUUGUAUUUGAAAGCUGAUAUACAGGGGUUUAAUGCAGAGGAAGCUGUUAGCAAACCAUUUAAAUCACUGUUGCAUUGGCAAAAUAAAGUAAAUGCAUGCAUGAUCAUGCAUUGCGUGACCAUUGUGGCUUGUGAAUGCUAAAAUUGCAGAUGAGAACAGAUGUGAUUUUGAGAAUUUAGCACUGUAAAUUUUUGGGAGCACCAUGCAAGGUUCUUGUUUAAUUACUUUUGUGGAGUUAGUUUUGGUGGAUGUUGGAAGGGAGCAGCAUCUGUCUCCAAUUCGUUUGCAAACCCAUUUGUUUAGAAGUUGUAAGUACUGGUGCAUGUUAUGGGUGAUUGCCACAUAUCUGUUGGUAUGAGCCAUUCAGCCCCUUCACAGGCCAAAGUGGUUGAUCUCAACAGGAGACCAACCUGCGCGGGUCUCCUGUUGAGAUCAAUAUUCUAUUUGUUUGUGUUGAAUUUGCUGAGCACACCAAAAAAUUAUCAAAAUUCAGGUUGUAAGUCAGUUUAUUGUCAUGUUUUUGUUUUCUGUGGACUUCUAGCUCUAAAAAAUGUUCACUGAAAGAGUCAGAGGGAAGCUUGUUUUAACCCAAUAUUAUACCCAAUAAUACCCAAUAUAUUAAAAAUGUUAAUUUCUGCACCUGAAAUGCCUGUUUUAUAAAUGAUUAUUUGAUUGUUAGAUCAUCAGUACAUAUUCUGCAUAAGAACCCUUUCUUUGUCUCUUACUCAUGUGUCCUUGAAUGUUUGUUUUUUUCUUGAUGCUACCAGUGUUCUUACCAGUACUGUAUCUGUCUCUCCAAACAGUCAGGAUUGUUUUAGUGACUUUUGCUCACAUACACUUUUGGGAUACACAAACUCGGUCUUUAAAAUAGUGAAGUAGAUGGUUGU